UACGAAGGGGGCUAGCGUUGCUCGGAAUUACUGGGCGUAAAGCGCACGUAGGCGGCUUUCUAAGUCGGGGGUGAAAUCCUGGAGCUCAACUCCAGAACUGCCUUCGAUACUGGAGAGCUUGAGUCCGGGAGAGGUGAGUGGAACUGCGAGUGUAGAGGUGAAAUUCGUAGAUAUUCGCAAGAACACCGGUGGCGAAGGCGGCCAACUGGUCCGAUACUGACGCUGAGGUGCGAAAGCGUGGGGAGCAAACAGG
RNAcentral lists this ribosomal RNA (253 nucleotides) under uncultured bacterium. RNAcentral describes it as "partial 16S ribosomal RNA". It matches the Rfam family "Bacterial small subunit ribosomal RNA", at positions 524 to 776 of the family's 1533-position model. The record is from RNAcentral.